RNAcentral lists this ribosomal RNA (466 nucleotides) under uncultured bacterium. Its description in RNAcentral is "partial 16S ribosomal RNA". It matches the Rfam family "Bacterial small subunit ribosomal RNA", at positions 339 to 795 of the family's 1533-position model. The record is from RNAcentral.
CUACGGGGCGCACCAGUGAGGAAUAUUGCGCAAUGGGGGAAACCCUGACGCAGCGACGCCGCGUGGAUGAUGAAGGCCUUCGGGUCGUAAAAUCCUGUCAGAAGGAAAGAAGUGUAUGGUAGCUAAUAUCUGCCAUACUUGACGGUACCUUCAAAGGAAGCACCGGCUAACUCCGUGCCAGCAGCCGCGGUGAAUACGGAGGGUGCAAGCGUUGUUCGGAAUUACUGGGCGUAAAGCGCGCGUAGGCGGUUUUAUAAGUCAGAUGUGAAAGUCCACGGCUCAACCAUGGAAGUGCAUUUGAAACUGUAAGACUUGAGUAUUGGAGGGGGUAGUGGAAUUCCCGGUGUAGAGGUGAAAUUCGUAGAUAUCGGGAGGAAUACCGGUGGCGAAGGCGACUAUCUGGCCAAAUACUGACGCUGAGGUGCGAAAGCGUGGGGAGCAAACAGGAUUAGAUACCCCAGUAGUC